Molecule: ribosomal RNA, 829 nt
Filed under: Streptomyces sp.
Lineage: Bacteria; Bacillati; Actinomycetota; Actinomycetes; Kitasatosporales; Streptomycetaceae
Description: bacterial SSU rRNA
Rfam family: Bacterial small subunit ribosomal RNA
Source: RNAcentral
UCGGGUGGGGAUUAGUGGCGAACGGGUGAGUAACACGUGGGCAAUCUGCCCUUCACUCUGGGACAAGCCCUGGAAACGGGGUCUAAUACCGGAUACUGACCUGCCAAGGCAUCUUGGCGGGUCGAAAGCUCCGGCGGUGAAGGAUGAGCCCGCGGCCUAUCAGCUUGUUGGUGAGGUAAUGGCUCACCAAGGCGACGACGGGUAGCCGGCCUGAGAGGGCGACCGGCCACACUGGGACUGAGACACGGCCCAGACUCCUACGGGAGGCAGCAGUGGGGAAUAUUGCACAAUGGGCGAAAGCCUGAUGCAGCGACGCCGCGUGAGGGAUGACGGCCUUCGGGUUGUAAACCUCUUUCAGCAGGGAAGAAGCGAAAGUGACGGUACCUGCAGAAGAAGCGCCGGCUAACUACGUGCCAGCAGCCGCGGUAAUACGUAGGGCGCAAGCGUUGUCCGGAAUUAUUGGGCGUAAAGAGCUCGUAGGCGGCUUGUCACGUCGGUUGUGAAAGCCCGGGGCUUAACCCCGGGUCUGCAGUCGAUACGGGCAGGCUAGAGUUCGGUAGGGGAGAUCGGAAUUCCUGGUGUAGCGGUGAAAUGCGCAGAUAUCAGGAGGAACACCGGUGGCGAAGGCGGAUCUCUGGGCCGAUACUGACGCUGAGGAGCGAAAGCGUGGGGAGCGAACAGGAUUAGAUACCCUGGUAGUCCACGCCGUAAACGGUGGGCACUAGGUGUGGGCAACAUUCCACGUUGUCCGUGCCGCAGCUAACGCAUUAAGUGCCCCGCCUGGGGAGUACGGCCGCAAGGCUAAAACUCAAAGGAAUUGACGGGGGCC